Molecule: non-coding RNA, 686 nt
Filed under: Grandidierella rubroantennata
Lineage: Eukaryota; Metazoa; Arthropoda; Malacostraca; Amphipoda; Corophiidae
Source: RNAcentral
AAAAAGUUUAACUCUGGCUUAAGUUAUAAUUAUGGUAAGAUUUUCAUGAGAAUUUAAGUUUUAUAAUAAAAAUAAAUUUAUUUUUUUGAUAAAUAUUUUGCAUUAUUAAUAAUAGAAAUAUUUUUGUGGGUUAUCUAUUAAUAAGUAAAGAGGGUGCCAGCUACUGCGGUUAGACUCUAUAUGAUUAUAAAAUAUAAGAUUAUAUUUAUUUUGUUGUGAUAAAUUUUAUUUAGGUGAAAUUUUUAUUUUUUUAAAAGUCAAUAAGAAAUAAAUAAGUUUGUUAAAACUAGGAUUAGAUACCCUACUAUUGUUCUUUUGCUUGAAUUAUUAAAUAUAAAAUUAAUUAGUUUGGCGGCUAAAUAAUUUAGAGGAAUUUGCUUUUUAAACGAUAAACCCCGUUUGGUUUUUCUCUUAUUUUGUUUAUAUAUCAUUAUUUUAUUUUUUUUGGAAGAAAGUAAAUAUGAAUUUUUUAAAAAAUUUAGAUCUAGAUGUAGCUAUGUGGGAGUUAAAGUUAAUUACAAUAAGUUUUAUUAUAUUAAAUAUAAGAUAAUAUUUAUAUUUUAAGUGGAUUUAAAUGUAAUUUUGUUUAUCAAAAUGAGUAAUUUUUUAGUGUACAAAUUGCCCGUCAUUCUCUAUGAGACAAGUCGAAACAAAGUAAGUGUACUUGAAGGUGCCCUUAGAAACAA